This is a long non-coding RNA of Carassius carassius (crucian carp), 1198 nucleotides long. RefSeq lists it as uncharacterized. The record is from RefSeq and is a predicted model, not a curated record. The transcript is spliced from 3 exons. Lineage: Eukaryota; Metazoa; Chordata; Actinopteri; Cypriniformes; Cyprinidae.
AGGGAAUUCGAUGCACCUGUGCCUAGUUAGGGACAGCGGUUGGUGAUUGGAGGAUACGCUGGACAAGGCAGUACUUAAGGCCAAGUUAUUUCCCAGUCUGGGAAGCUCUUUUUGGUGUGUGUGAAGCACUGGGUUGUGCCCGUCUUGGUACGCUGCUGGUAGCUGUCUAACUCUCUCUCUCCCUCAGGCUGGAAUUGUAUGAUUGUGAAGACAUCGCGAACCUUAAAGGUUGAGAAGUGAACAGAUUAUACGGCGAACUGAGACGACGUGAAAAAGGGGAUUGGAAGUGGCAUUGAUGUGAGUACUAAGAGCCAGUCGAAAGUGCCCUGUAUAUUGACCUGGCGUUGUGUAGAUCUCUCCAGGAGGAGGAGGGCGGCCCUACCCCUAAUAUAGUGUGGUGGGAGAGCCGAAGGAAUACUUAUUGAAGUAGUCACAACGACGACACCACUAGCUAGGCCGCAUAUUCCAUCGCCAGAUCCGAACCAAGCGAAGUGAAGGAAGACGGGUGUCCUUUCCGUACACUGAGUGUGGUGGGUGAGUCUUCGUGCUGUGAAAACCUAUAAUUUUGACGUGGUGCUGUAUAUUGCUGUGGGCUGCUGUGUAUUGCCGUGUGUCCUGUCAGAUAAACCCCCGCCUUCACGCACUUCGGCGUGGGAGGACAAGGAGAUUGCUGGUUCUAGCCUAGUUCAGUACAGUAUAUGUUGUGAGCGUGCUUCAGAUCUCCGGAGAUAGCACGGUACGCUGUGUCCAGCCCAGAGGUGAGAGCCAUUCAAAGCAAACUAACUGUGCUAUUGUGCCCAAGCUGAUACCUGUGGAGAGAAAAGGAGAGAGAGAUUGAUACCUGUGGAGAGAAAAGGAGAGAGAGUGGGUAACACGAGGAGAGACUGAGGAAACCUGUACUUACGCCGCUGCCUGUGGAGAAAGAGAAAGCGAGUGAGCACCCAAGGAACGAACUGUGUGAACCAGUACUUACUGUGAGCUGUAAUCAGCGAAGAGGUGAGAGCAGAACCAAGCUGAACUAACUGUGCCUGUGUGUCCCAGCCGUUGCCUGUGGAGAAAGAGAAAGCGAGUGAGCACCCAAGGAACGAACUGUGUGAACCAGUACUUACUGUGAGCUGUAAUCAGCGAAGAGGUGAGAGCAAAACCAAGCUGAAUUAACUGUGCCUGUGUGUCCCAGCCGUUGCCUGUGGAGAAAGAG